UACGGAGGAUCCAAGCGUUAUCCGGAAUCAUUGGGUUUAAAGGGUCCGUAGGUGGACUGUUAAGUCAGGGGUGAAAGUCUGCAGCUCAACUGUAGAAUUGCCCUUGAUACUGGUAGUCUUGAGUUAUUAUGAAGUGGUUAGAAUAUGUGGUGUAGCGGUGAAAUGCAUAGAUAUCACAUGGAAUACCGAUUGCGAAGGCAGAUCACUAAUAAUAUACUGACACUGAUGGACGAAAGCGUGGGUAGCGAACAGG
RNAcentral lists this ribosomal RNA (253 nucleotides) under uncultured bacterium. Its description in RNAcentral is "partial 16S ribosomal RNA". It matches the Rfam family "Bacterial small subunit ribosomal RNA", at positions 524 to 776 of the family's 1533-position model. The record is from RNAcentral.